RNAcentral lists this ribosomal RNA (519 nucleotides) under uncultured bacterium. RNAcentral's name for it is "bacterial SSU rRNA". It matches the Rfam family "Bacterial small subunit ribosomal RNA", at positions 8 to 518 of the family's 1533-position model. The record is from RNAcentral.
AGGGUUCGAUUCUGGCUCAGGAUGAACGCUAGCUACAGGCUUAACACAUGCAAGUCGAGGGGCAGCAUUGGGGUAGCAAUACUCAGAUGGCGACCGGCGCACGGGUGAGUAACACGUAUCCAACCUGCCGCUUACUCGGGGAUAGCCUUUCGAAAGAAAGAUUAAUACCCGAUGGUAUAAAGAGUUCGCAUGUUCUCUUUAUUAAAGAAUUUCGGUAAGCGAUGGGGAUGCGUUCCAUUAGAUAGUUGGCGGGGUAACGGCCCACCAAGUCUACGAUGGAUAGGGGUUCUGAGAGGAAGGUCCCCCACAUUGGAACUGAGACACGGUCCAAACUCCUACGGGAGGCAGCAGUGAGGAAUAUUGGUCAAUGGACGAGAGUCUGAACCAGCCAAAAGUAGCGUGAAGGAUGACUGCCCUAUGGGUUGUAAACUUCUUUUAUAAGGGAAUAAAGUGAGGGACGUGUCCCUUUUUGUAUGUACCUUAUGAAUAAGGAUCGGCUAACUCCGUGCCAGCCGCGGC